GACGAACGCUGGCGGCGUGCUUAACACAUGCAAGUCGAACGCUGAAGCUUGGUGCUUGCACUGGGUGGAUGAGUGGCGGACGGGUGAGUAAUACGUGAGUAACCUGCCCUUGACUCUGGGAUAAGCCUGGGAAACUGGGUCUAAUACUGGAUACGACAUGUCACCGCAUGGUGGUGUGUGGAAAGGGGUUUACUGGUUUUGGAUGGGCUCACGGCCUAUCAGCUUGUUGGUGGGGUAAUGGCUCACCAAGGCGACGACGGGUAGCCGGCCUGAGAGGGUGACCGGCCACACUGGGACUGAGACACGGCCCAGACUCCUACGGGAGGCAGCAGUGGGGAAUAUUGCACAAUGGGCGGAAGCCUGAUGCAGCGACGCCGCGUGAGGGAUGACGGCCUUCGGGUUGUAAACCUCUUUCAGCACGGAAGAAGCGAAAGUGACGGUACGUGCAGAAGAAGCGCCGGCUAACUACGUG
RNAcentral lists this ribosomal RNA (472 nucleotides) under uncultured bacterium. Its description in RNAcentral is "partial 16S ribosomal RNA". It matches the Rfam family "Bacterial small subunit ribosomal RNA", at positions 28 to 507 of the family's 1533-position model. The record is from RNAcentral.